AAAUUUCAUCAAACAUUUAAAGAUUAACAUCGCUUUGAUUCAGUAUUCUCUCUCUCUCUCUCUCUCUCUCUCUCUCUCUCAAAGUUCUUGAUCUCUCUUCCGUUUAUCUUUGAGUUCGAAAUUUUCAUCUGGGUACUGAUAAUUUCAGAAAAUAAUUGCGAUCUUUUCUAGUUCUGCUGCAAAAUUUGAACAUAGGGUGAAAACCCAUUGCUACAAUUUCAAAAAGGAACAAUCUUUGCGUUCCAUAAGUUUCAUUAGUGAGCUACUUGUUUGGUGCACUUGGUUUCAUAAAUGGCCUACGAGUUAAGUGAGCUGAAAAAGGUUGGAAUAGGACUAUUGGGCUGCAGCAUCUUUUUCACAUUUCUGGGCGUUGUUCUCUUCUUUGACAGGGGCUUGUUGGCUCUAGGCAAUAUAUUUUUCUUGUCUGGGGUGGCCUUCUUACUUGGUUGGCAAUCUAUGUGGCGAUUAUUCACAAAUAGAUCAAACUACAAGGGUUCUCUACCUUUUUUUGCUGGACUCUUUCUCAUAUUUGUUCGUUGGCCCAUAGCUGGCAUCAUCUUACAAGUGUAUGGUUCAAUUGUUCUUUUCAGUGGGUUUUGGCCAUCAGCUAAGGUUUUUCUUUAUCAGAUUCCAGGAAUAGGAUGGUUAUGUUCUUGGUUCGUUUAAGGGAGUUAUCCAGUUGAAGAUUUAUUUGAAAUGCUUCUCCCAAUCCAAUUCCAGCGUCUGCUGUUGAAAGUGGAUAAUGCUCUUGAAUUGCUCAAAGAAGACAUUGGUGGGGUCUAGAGUUGCCUAGCAUGCUGAUAAGCUUCCGUUUGUUCUUUCAAUGUUUCUUCAAAUGUAAUUUAGAUUUCUAACCUCCAUGAGUAUCUUCCAUGAAAAUUUCAAUGUAGUUCUAAGUGGAUGCUCUAAUGUUUUGUUAACAAGUGUUUAAGCACUAUUAUCGAGUGUAUUUAGUAAGCAGGAAACUUGUAAAAUGAAAUUGUGCAGUGAACCAUUAAACUUAUGUAAGUUUUAUCAAUUGUUCGCGUGAAGGGGUUAUUACCACAACAAA
This is an RNA transcript of Asparagus officinalis (garden asparagus), 1051 nucleotides long. It is a transcript of the gene named vesicle transport protein GOT1, with no coding region annotated. The transcript is spliced from 9 exons. The record is from RefSeq and is a predicted model, not a curated record. NCBI's taxonomy places the organism in Eukaryota, Viridiplantae, Streptophyta, Magnoliopsida, Asparagales, Asparagaceae.